This 729-nucleotide long non-coding RNA is filed under the name Coturnix japonica (Japanese quail). Its description in RNAcentral is "lncRNA (ENSCJPG00005006926.1)". Lineage: Eukaryota; Metazoa; Chordata; Aves; Galliformes; Phasianidae. The record is from RNAcentral.
GGACCAACCCUCUACCCCGGGGGGAGAUCUGGUGCUGUAGGAAUAUUGUCCUUUCUCUCUCUUUCAAACAGUUAGUGUAUAUAUUACUGGUCAUGUGCUGCACAUUGUACAUAUAUUUCCUUGGGCUGGUUACUGGUAUCUAAAUGAAAAUUAUAGUAAUUAUGUCAUAGCUCUUCAUGCAUAGUAGCCGUAUCAGUUGUAGAAGUGUAUUUGAUAUUUCAGAAAAAAAAGAACAAGAAAAAAAACAACCUCUGAAACUUUAAACUGAAGGGUCUACAAAAUGGAGAAUCAGCUGUAACAGGAUUUCCUGGAAAAGCACGAACUGUGUGACUCAGUCCUUGAAUGUCUAUAGAUGUUUACAUGAUUCACUGGUGAGGAAAGAAGGACCUUCAUUUCUCCCCUUACUAAUUUUGGACAAAGUGAGCAUCCCAGCUUUGACUCCUCAUGCAACCAUGAAAAGAAGAAUUUUUAGUGAAGAAUGGUGGGUUUGUUUUAUUACAGAAAACAGAAGGUCACUGCAGAUAGUUGAAGUGACGGUUCCUGCUUUGUGGUGCUUAAGGGCCACCUUCGAUCGCUGAUCAUGUCUCAGUUGAAGAAAGGAGGAGGAUUAAAUUGUGAAAAAUGCACACCAGUGUCUUCAGCAGGCAUGCUCAGGGUGGGCUAACAUUCAGUUGUCAAAGCCAAUAUAUAUUUAAUAAAUCCUUUGCAACUUAGUGAUUGUUAUCCUUA